This 531-nucleotide ribosomal RNA is filed under the name Penicillium citrinum. Its description in RNAcentral is "eukaryotic LSU rRNA". The stretch from base 147 to 300 matches the Rfam family "5.8S ribosomal RNA". Lineage: Eukaryota; Fungi; Ascomycota; Eurotiomycetes; Eurotiales; Aspergillaceae. The record is from RNAcentral.
UCAUUACCGAGUGCGGGCCCCUCGGGGCCCAACCUCCCACCCGUGUUGCCCGAACCUAUGUUGCCUCGGCGGGCCCCGCGCCCGCCGACGGCCCCCCUGAACGCUGUCUGAAGUUGCAGUCUGAGACCUAUAACGAAAUUAGUUAAAACUUUCAACAACGGAUCUCUUGGUUCCGGCAUCGAUGAAGAACGCAGCGAAAUGCGAUAACUAAUGUGAAUUGCAGAAUUCAGUGAAUCAUCGAGUCUUUGAACGCACAUUGCGCCCUCUGGUAUUCCGGAGGGCAUGCCUGUCCGAGCGUCAUUGCUGCCCUCAAGCCCGGCUUGUGUGUUGGGCCCCGUCCCCCCCGCCGGGGGGACGGGCCCGAAAGGCAGCGGCGGCACCGCGUCCGGUCCUCGAGCGUAUGGGGCUUCGUCACCCGCUCUAGUAGGCCCGGCCGGCGCCAGCCGACCCCCAACCUUUAAUUAUCUCAGGUUGACCUCGGAUCAGGUAGGGAUACCCGCUGAACUUAAGCAUAUCAAAAGGGGGAAGGAA